Mycetomoellerius zeteki is the source of this 751-nucleotide long non-coding RNA. RefSeq lists it as uncharacterized. The record is from RefSeq and is a predicted model, not a curated record. NCBI's taxonomy places the organism in Eukaryota, Metazoa, Arthropoda, Insecta, Hymenoptera, Formicidae. The transcript is spliced from 3 exons.
AUCUCUCAUCCGGCCGCAACCAUCAUCUUACAAAACCCUCGCCGAGGAUCGCAGAUCUGACGAACGGUGAAUCGUCUGUGAAGAUGCUCAAGUACUGACUAAGAGAACAUCCUCAUAGACGAUGAGGAAACUGAAAGGAUCGUCCAUCCUCGGCGGAACGCCUGAUUCGAAACGGAGCAGAGAGACGAGGGAAGACAGAGGAUGGUGUAGCAAUCACAAAAUGUAUGAAAACAGAAAUUUGCGAGACAAGCAUAUUCAAAGAAGUCCUAAUUUAAGCGCGUACCGAUAUAAAGAGGGAAAGGGAAGAUAGAGAGGGAGAGACGUAGAGUACUGAUGUUCAAAGUACAAGCAGUAUUCGAAUCACACGCUCGGCGAGGAUGAGUAACCGUAUUUCCGCGGCGAUGGAAAAUUUUCAUUCGAAUUUCCCACAUCGAACAGCCUCCAGUUAUUGAAGAUUAAUACUGAUGUAUGGUCCGCCUAAUUAUGCCAAUUAAAGAGAUAAUAUUUUCGAAAAGCAUCCAGAUGAAUUGUAUUAAUAAUCACGAGAAGAAAUUUGGCACAGUAACAAGGAUAAUUUCAACAGAUAUGUAUCGAACCAGUUAUUUCCUUUGGCGAACCAACACAUAACAUUCCUGAGAUUGGAUCUAAAUUCGUUCGAAAAAAACUUUCAAAUAUCAUAGUGAGCGCUAACCGAAUGGAUCCGAGAAAAAUCACGUGCCACUUCAUUCAUUUUUAAGGAUCACCCGUAAAG